Molecule: transfer RNA, 72 nt
Filed under: Amphiura sp. CZ-2022
Lineage: Eukaryota; Metazoa; Echinodermata; Ophiuroidea; Amphilepidida; Amphiuridae
Description: tRNA-His
Source: RNAcentral
GCUUUGUUAGUUUUAACCAAAACAUCAGUUUGUGAUACUGAAAAGGGGUCCAAAAAUGUCCCACAAAGCCUA